Molecule: long non-coding RNA, 584 nt
Filed under: Drosophila guanche
Lineage: Eukaryota; Metazoa; Arthropoda; Insecta; Diptera; Drosophilidae
Source: RNAcentral
CAGCCAUACAAUCGAUGGUUCCCUGCCAUUGCCUAGAUUAUAUUGACUCUGACGUUCUGGCAGCACUGCUGUCGGCGAACGCUCGAAGACGUAAGAGCUUUUGCAGCUGCUUGGCUCAACAGGAAGACGCCAAAGGAAGGACCUGGGACCUGGGACCUGGGACCAACCCCUUGUUACAACACGCGUCAGAGUCAACAAAGCAGCGGCAGCAGCAGUUGUCGUCACUUUUCUGAGGUUAUGCAUUCGAGCGUUUGUGUGUGUACGUGGGUGGCUGGGGAGUGGAAUCUGAGCGACCCUGACAAUGAGCCCCUCCCUCUAUCCACCUACCCAACGCCCUGCCCUUUCCCCCUGUUCCAUUCAUUGCGACCUCACUUGGCAUUCAUUUAAUUUAAUUUGUCGCAUCUUAAGCUGCUUCACGAGCAAGACUUCCCCAUCCCUACCGCACAUACAUACAUAGCAGGACCACACUCAUGUCUAGUCAGCCGCCACAUGUGCCGGUCACAAUGUACAUAUGUACAUAUGUACAUACAUAAAUAUGUAUGUAAGCAUUCAUAAUAAGCAAUAAUAAUAAUAAUAAUAAAGUG